CGCUCACUUGGAUCAGUGUGGGACUUGUCAUAGCUAGCAGAUAAAAAUCUGUUCAUUACCACAGACUGAAUCCAAGUACUUCCCACCACAAAAAAAGCCCAAAAGAGCCAAGAAACCUUGUGGGAGUAUGUCAAAGCUCUCCUGUUUGAGAGGAUGAAGGAAUCGUUUGUGAGGAACCAGGCAUCCAGCUUCAGUGAGGCCACGUUCUGGUUUGGAGUGCUCCCAGCCUCGAGGGGCGGCCUGCUUGGUGCAGCACCUUGCUUAAUCUUGCAGACAGUUUGCUUUAAUCCUGAGUGGAUGAAAACGGCAGGAGUUUGUAUAAAAUUGGUGUAAGUUUUCAGCCACUGAGAGCAGAACACAUCAGAAGGCAAUGCUGAAUAAAUCCAGAGGAAUACCAUGGCAUUAAUUGUGCAUCGUGCUGAGCAUACCUACUGUGGUAGAAGGUGACUCCCACCCCAGUGAUGGAUGGCAUCCUGAAUGAGCACUCUAAAAACAAACAAACAAACAAACAAACAAACCCACAACAUUCUUUCUGUUUUUCUGUGAAAGACUUCACCACUGUGGAUCCUCUAAACUUGGGGCAAAGAGGCCCAGGACAGCUAUUUGAUCUCCAAGGAUGGAGUGCACCCUCAGCAAGUUUUUGGAUGACAAUAAAAGUGGAGAAAGAAGAUGGUUGGAGGGUGGGGCUGCCACUCAGAGGCAUGGACAGACUGGAGAAAUGGACUGAACUCAUGAAGUUUAGAAUAGAUAAGUGCAACCAGAAAUGAAUUAGCUCCCUUAGAGUAAAUAACUGGAAUAGAUGACCUCCAGAAAUUCCCCAACCUUAAUGGUUCUCUGAUUCUAUGAUUUUAUGAUUCUUGCUCUGCAAGUGGCUAAAUGAGAGGAGACACAGAUGAAAAAGCAGAUUUGAGUAGCUAUUCAAAUACAGUCUAUUAUGUUCUCUGAAUUAGAGGGCGAAGAGGAUUGUAGAGAAGUAAUACAUUUUACUAGAUCAACUGGUAUAGCUGGAAGAGAAAAACAGAUAUAUCUUUUAUUAGAUUUGAAAGACAAGUGAUGCUCUUCAAAGCUGAAUAUGAGUAGAGAACAAUUGCUCUGAAUUUUAUGUUUAUAUUUAGCAGUGAAAAAAAGGCAGUAGGUACUUUCAGAACAAAGAAGGAUUCUUAGGCUAGAAAACAAGCAUUUGUAGGAUAGAAAGAGCACCUUGAAACAAAGACUGUCUCACACAUUUUACCAUUAGCACCCAAAACUUUGCCUUCAAUAACAAACACAUUCCUCAAGCAUUGUCACAGCUGGGAAAACAAUAUACCCCCGCAAUAUGCUAUAGGAGUCACCAUGAAAAAGAGAUUAUAAAUUUUCUGGACUGAAAACCUAGAAUCCCAAUUGAUUUCUACCACAGCUUCAUUAAUCACUUUCUGUACAAACCCUAAUUUCCUAGUCACAGCCAGCAACAUAAGAAAUGGAUAGAAUACACCCAGAACCAAGACCAGCACACCUACCAUUGUGAUCAUCUAAUCACCAAAAUUAAUAAUUUAAAACAAAAUAGGGCUGAGGUAUGCACUUAGACCCUGAAGCAUAGGGUGUAUUAGCUUUGAGGAAAAUCUUACAACUAUGCAAUUACCCUCACAGCUAAUAAAACGAGAUUAAUGUAAGGGAAUUCCUUUGCU
This 1664-nucleotide long non-coding RNA is filed under the name Anas platyrhynchos platyrhynchos (common mallard). Its description in RNAcentral is "lncRNA (ENSAPLG00000019597.1)". Lineage: Eukaryota; Metazoa; Chordata; Aves; Anseriformes; Anatidae. The record is from RNAcentral.